GACGAACGCUGGCGGCGUGCUUAACACAUGCAAGUCGAACGGAAAGGCCCUGCUUUUGUGGGGUGCUCGCGUGGCGAACGGGUGAGUAACACGUGAGUAACCUGCCCUUGACUUUGGGAUAACUUCAGGAAACUGGGGCUAAUACCGGAUAGGAGCUCCUGCUGCAUGGUGGGGGUUGGAAAGUUUCGGCGGUUGGGGAUGGACUCGCGGCUUAUCAGCUUGUUGGUGGGGUAGUGGCUUACCAAGGCUUUGACGGGUAGCCGGCCUGAGAGGGUGACCGGCCACAUUGGGACUGAGAUACGGCCCAGACUCCUACGGGAGGCAGCAGUGGGGAAUAUUGCACAAUGGGCGGAAGCCUGAUGCAGCAACGCCGCGUGCGGGAUGACGGCCUUCGGGUUGUAAACCGCUUUCGCCUGUGACGAAGCGUGAGUGACGGUAAUGGGUAAAGAAGCACCGGCUAACUACGUG
This 468-nucleotide ribosomal RNA is filed under the name uncultured bacterium. Its description in RNAcentral is "partial 16S ribosomal RNA". It matches the Rfam family "Bacterial small subunit ribosomal RNA", at positions 28 to 507 of the family's 1533-position model. The record is from RNAcentral.